CGUCGAAGUUGGGUCCGUGUGCUGGGUUAGUACGGUGGGUGUGAGCGUGAAUCGGAUUUACUGGGCGUAAUGCGUGCGUAGUCGGCUGAUUAAGUCGGAUUGUAAAUCCCUGAGCUUAACGUAGGAAUUGCAUUCGAGACUGGUCAGCUAGAGUAUGGGAGAGGAUGGUAGAAUUCCAGGUGUAGCGGUGAAAUGCGUAGAGAUCUGGAGGAAUACCGAUGGCGAAGGCAGCCAUCUGGCCUAAUACUGACGCUGAGGUACGAAAGCAUGGGGAGCAAACAGGAUUAGAUACCCGGUAGUC
Molecule: ribosomal RNA, 301 nt
Filed under: uncultured Halogeometricum sp.
Lineage: Archaea; Methanobacteriati; Methanobacteriota; Halobacteria; Halobacteriales; Haloferacaceae
Description: partial 16S ribosomal RNA
Rfam family: Bacterial small subunit ribosomal RNA
Source: RNAcentral